GUGGUUUAGAUACCCUGGUAGUCUAUGCUGUAAACGAUGUGCACUUGGUGUUGGGCCGAUUAGGUUCAGUGCCGUAGCUAACGCGAUAAGUGCACCGCCUGGGGAGUAUGCCCGCAAGGGUGAAACUCAAAGGAAUUGACGGGGGCCCGCACAAGCGGUGGAUUAUGUGGUUUAAUUCGAUGAUACGCGAGAAACCUUACCAGGGUUUGACAUGCACAGGAAUAGUUUAGAGAUAGGCUAGCCCGCAAGGGUCUGUGCACAGGUGCUGCAUGCCUGUCGUCAACU
This 285-nucleotide ribosomal RNA is filed under the name uncultured bacterium. RNAcentral describes it as "partial 16S ribosomal RNA". It matches the Rfam family "Bacterial small subunit ribosomal RNA", at positions 773 to 1060 of the family's 1533-position model. The record is from RNAcentral.